RNAcentral lists this ribosomal RNA (253 nucleotides) under uncultured bacterium. RNAcentral describes it as "partial 16S ribosomal RNA". It matches the Rfam family "Bacterial small subunit ribosomal RNA", at positions 524 to 776 of the family's 1533-position model. The record is from RNAcentral.
UACGGAGGGGGUUAGCGUUGUUCGGAAUGACUGGGCGUAAAGCGCGCGUAGGCGGAUCAGGAAGUUGGGGGUGAAAUCCCGGGGCUCAACCCCGGAAUGGCCUUCAAAACUCCUGGUCUUGAGUUCGAGAGAGGUGAGUGGAAUUCCGAGUGUAGAGGUGAAAUGCGUAGAUAUGUGGAGGAACACCGAUGGCGAAGGCAGCCCCCUGGGAUGUGACUGACGCUCAUGUACGAAAGCGUGGGGAGCAAACAGG